Molecule: ribosomal RNA, 376 nt
Filed under: uncultured bacterium
Lineage: Bacteria
Description: bacterial SSU rRNA
Rfam family: Bacterial small subunit ribosomal RNA
Source: RNAcentral
UACAGAGGGUGCGAGCGUUAAUCGGAGUUACUGGGCGUAAAGGGCGCGUAGGCGGUUAAUUAAGUGAGAUGUGAAAUCCCUGGGCUUAACCUAGGAAUUGCAUCUUAUACUGGAGAGCUAGAGUACAGUAGAGGGUAGUGGAAUUUCCGGUGUAGCGGUGAAAUGCGUAGAUAUCGGAAGGAACACCAGUGGCGAAGGCGACUACCUGGACUGAAACUGACGCUGAGGCGCGAAAGCGUGGGGAGCAAACAGGAUUAGAUACCCUGGUAGUCCACGCUGUAAACGAUGAAGACUAGAUGUUGUGUGGCAAGGCCCAUACAGUAUCGAAGCUAACGCGAUAAGUCAUCCGCCUGGGGAGUACGGCCGCAAGGUUAAA